UCAGGAUGAACGCUAGCUACAGGCUUAACACAUGCAAGUCGAGGGGCAGCAUGGUCUUAGCUUGCUAAGGCCGAUGGCGACCGGCGCACGGGUGAGUAACACGUAUCCAACCUGCCGUCUACUCUUGGACAGCCUUCUGAAAGGAAGAUUAAUACAAGAUGGCAUCAUGAGUCCGCAUGUUCACAUGAUUAAAGGUAUUCCGGUAGACGAUGGGGAUGCGUUCCAUUAGAUAGUAGGCGGGGUAACGGCCCACCUAGUCUUCGAUGGAUAGGGGUUCUGAGAGGAGGGUCCCCCACAUUGGAACUGAGACACGGUCCAAACUCCUACGGGAGGCAGCAGUGAGGAAUAUUGGUCAAUGGGCGAGAGCCUGAACCAGCCAAGUAGCGUGAAGGAUGACUGCCCUAUGGGUUGUAAACUUCUUUUAUAAAGGAAUAAAGUCGGGUAUGGAUACCCGUUUGCAUGUACUUUAUGAAUAAGGAUCGGCUAACUCCGUGCCAGCAGCCGCGGUAAUACGGAGGAUCCGAGCGUUAUCCGGAUUUAUUGGGUUUAAAGGGAGCGUAGAUGGAUGUUUAAGUCAGUUGUGAAAGUUUGCGGCUCAACCGUAAAAUUGCAGUUGAUACUGGAUAUCUUGAGUGCAGUUGAGGCAGGCGGAAUUCGUGGUGUAGCGGUGAAAUGCUUAGAUAUCACGAAGAACUCCGAUUGCGAAGGCAGCCUGCUAAGCUGCAACUGACAUUGAGGCUCGAAAGUGUGGGUAUCAAACAGGAUUAGAUACCCUGGUAGUCCACACGGUAAACGAUGAAUACUCGCUGUUUGCGAUAUACUGCAAGCGGCCAAGCGAAAGCGUUAAGUAUUCCACCUGGGGAGUACGCCGGCAACGGUGAAACUCAAAGGAAUUGACGGGGGCCCGCACAAGCGGAGGAACAUGUGGUUUAAUUCGAUGAUACGCGAGGAACCUUACCCGGGCUUAAAUUGCAGAUGAAUUACGGUGAAAGCCGUAAGCCGCAAGGCAUCUGUGAAGGUGCUGCAUGGUUGUCGUCAGCUCGUGCCGUGAGGUGUCGGCUUAAGUGUCAUAACGAGCGCAACCCUUGUUGUCAGUUACUAACAGGUUCCGCUGAGGACUCUGACAAGACUGCCAUCGUAAGAUGUGAGGAAGGUGGGGAUGACGUCAAAUCAGCACGGCCCUUACGUCCGGGGCUACACACGUGUUACAAUGGGGGGUACAGAGGGCCGCUACCACGCGAGUGGAUGCCAAUCCCCAAAACCUCUCUCAGUUCGGACUGGAGUCUGCAACCCGACUCCACGAAGCUGGAUUCGCUAGUAAUCGCGCAUCAGCCACGGCGCGGUGAAUACGUUCCCGGGCCUUGUACACACCGCCCGUCAAGCCAUGGGAGCCGGGGGUACCUGAAGUGCGUAACCGCGAGGAGCGCCCUAGGGUAAAAC
Molecule: ribosomal RNA, 1440 nt
Filed under: uncultured organism
Description: 16S ribosomal RNA
Rfam family: Bacterial small subunit ribosomal RNA
Source: RNAcentral